CAGUCGCCACGGGAAUACCGGCAGCCCGAGUGAUGGCCGCUAUUAUUGGGCCUAAAGCGUCCGUAGCCGGCCAGACAAGUCCGUUGGGAAAUCCACGCGCUCAACGCGUGGACGUCCGGCGGAAACUGUCUGGCUUGGGGCCGGAAGAUCUGAGGGGUACGUCCGGGGUAGGAGUGAAAUCCCGUAAUCCUGGACGGACCGCCGGUGGCGAAAGCGCCUCAGAAAGACGGACCCGACGGUGAGGGACGAAAGCUAGGGUCUCGAACCGGAUUAGAGACCCCAGUAGUCCCUGUCUCUUAUU
This 301-nucleotide ribosomal RNA is filed under the name uncultured bacterium. Its description in RNAcentral is "partial 16S ribosomal RNA". It matches the Rfam family "Archaeal small subunit ribosomal RNA", at positions 459 to 759 of the family's 1478-position model. The record is from RNAcentral.